Long non-coding RNA from Cynoglossus semilaevis (tongue sole), 163 nucleotides. RefSeq lists it as uncharacterized. NCBI's taxonomy places the organism in Eukaryota, Metazoa, Chordata, Actinopteri, Pleuronectiformes, Cynoglossidae. The record is from RefSeq and is a predicted model, not a curated record. The transcript has 3 exons.
CACAGAUUCCAAACCCAAGGUAGAUGGGGCUGACAUGUCUCUGGAUGCUCUCAGUGCUCUUGGGGAUACUUUGCCCACAGAUUUGCCAAAACCUGAACUCCCCAAACUCAGACCUGAGGACAUUGUGUCUGAAAACAAACUGAAAGAAGAGGAGGGGGUUCGU